This 309-nucleotide unclassified non-coding RNA is filed under the name plant metagenome. RNAcentral's name for it is "partial contains 5.8S ribosomal RNA, internal transcribed spacer 2, and large subunit ribosomal RNA". The stretch from base 1 to 104 matches the Rfam family "5.8S ribosomal RNA", at positions 51 to 154 of the family's 154-position model. The record is from RNAcentral.
AAAUGCGAUAAGUAGCGUGAAUUGCAGAAUUCAGUGAAUCAUCGAAUCUUUGAACGCACAUUGCGCCCCUUGGUAUUCCAUGGGGCAUGCCUGUUCGAGCGUCAUUUGUACCCUCAAGCUCUGCUUGGUGUUGGGUGUUUGUCCCCGUCUCCGCGCGUGGACUCGCCCCAAAGUGAUUGGCAGCCGGCGUACUGGUCCCGGAGCGCAGCACAUGUCGCGCAAACGAGUGCCUUGGUACGGCGGCGUCCAUAAGCCCCUCUCUCACGCUCUUGACCUCGGAUCAGGUAGGGAUACCCGCUGAACUUAAGC